RNAcentral lists this ribosomal RNA (228 nucleotides) under uncultured bacterium. Its description in RNAcentral is "partial 16S ribosomal RNA". It matches the Rfam family "Bacterial small subunit ribosomal RNA", at positions 568 to 796 of the family's 1533-position model. The record is from RNAcentral.
UGCGUAGGCGGCCUGACAAGUCAGAGGCGAAAGGCUACGGCUUAACCGUAGUAAGCCUUUGAAACUGACAGGCUUGAGUGCAGGAGAGGAAAGUGGAAUUCCUAGUGUAGCGGUGAAAUGCGUAGAUAUUAGGAGGAACACCAGUGGCGAAGGCGACUUUCUGGACUGUAACUGACGCUGAGGCACGAAAGCGUGGGGAGCGAACAGGAUUAGAUACCCUGGUAGUCC